Molecule: ribosomal RNA, 253 nt
Filed under: uncultured bacterium
Lineage: Bacteria
Description: partial 16S ribosomal RNA
Rfam family: Bacterial small subunit ribosomal RNA
Source: RNAcentral
UACGUAGGUGACUAGCGUUGUCCGGAUUUACUGGGCGUAAAGAGCGCGCAGGCGGUCGGUCAAGUCGAGUGUGAAAGCCCCCGGCUCAACUGGGGAGGGUCAUUCGAUACUGAUCGACUUGAAGGCAGGAGAGGGAAGCGGAAUUCCCGGUGUAGUGGUGAAAUGCGUAGAUAUCGGGAGGAACACCAGUGGCGAAGGCGGCUUCCUGGCCUGUUCUUGACGCUGAGGCGCGAAAGCUAGGGGAGCAAACGGG